CAGUAGCGUAUAUUAAAGUUGUUGCGGUAAAAAAGCUCGUAGUUGGAUUUAUACCGAAGAUAGCCGGUCGGGUCUUCGACCUUGUAUCUGGUUUUGUCUUUGGUAUCCUCAUAGGGAACGUUUCUGCGCUUUAUUGCAUGGUGCGGUAUCUAUGACUUUUACUUUGAGGAAAUUAGAGUGUUCACGGCAGGCAAACGCCUUGAAUAUAUUAGCAUGGAAUAAUAACAUAGGAUCUUCGUCCUAUUUUGUUGGUUUCUAGGGCUAAGAUAAUGAUUAAUAGGGAUAAUUGGGGGCAUCUGUAUCAACGCGUCAGAGGUGGAAUUCUUGGAUUGCGUUGCGACAAACUACUGCGAAAGCAUUUGCCAAGGAUGUUUUCAUUGA
Molecule: ribosomal RNA, 381 nt
Filed under: uncultured eukaryote
Lineage: Eukaryota
Description: partial 18S ribosomal RNA
Rfam family: Eukaryotic small subunit ribosomal RNA
Source: RNAcentral